Molecule: ribosomal RNA, 459 nt
Filed under: uncultured bacterium
Lineage: Bacteria
Description: partial 16S ribosomal RNA
Rfam family: Bacterial small subunit ribosomal RNA
Source: RNAcentral
CCUACGGGAGGCAGCAGUGAGGAAUAUUGGUCAAUGGGCGCGAGCCUGAACCAGCCAAGUCGCGUGAGGGAAGACGGUCCUAUGGAUGGUAAACCGCUUUUGUAGGGGAGAAAAAGACGCCACGCGUGGCGUUCCGCGAGUACCCGAAGAAAAAGCAUCGGCUAACUCCGUGCCAGCAGCCGCGGUAAUACGGAGGAUGCGAGCGUUAUCCGGAUUUAUUGGGUUAAAGGGGUGCGCAGGCGGAACAUCAAGUCAGCGGUAAAAUUGAGAGGCUCAACCUCUUCGAGCCGUUGAAACUGGGUUUCUUGAGUGCGUGAGAGGUAUGCGGAAUGCGUGGUGUAGCGGUGAAAUGCAUAGAUAUCACGCAGAACUCCGAUUGCGAAGGCAGCAUACCGGCGCUCAACUGACGCUCAUGCACGAAAGUGUGGGUAUCGAACAGGAUUAGAUACCCCUGUAGUC